Molecule: ribosomal RNA, 522 nt
Filed under: uncultured Bacillota bacterium
Lineage: Bacteria; Bacillati; Bacillota
Description: bacterial SSU rRNA
Rfam family: Bacterial small subunit ribosomal RNA
Source: RNAcentral
AGAGUUUGAUCAUGGCUCAGGAUGAACGCUGGCGGCGUGCCUAACACAUGCAAGUCGAGCGGAGUUGAUCGACGGAAGCCUUCGGGCGGAAGAUGAUUAACUUAGCGGCGGAUGGGUGAGUAACGCGUGGGCAACCUGCCUCGAAGACCGGGAUAACAGUUCGAAAGGGCUGCUAAUACCGGAUGUGGUCAAGUGUCAGCAUGGGCAUUUGAUUAAAGGGGAAACCCGUUUCGAGAUGGGCCCGCGUCCUAUCAGCUAGUUGGUGAGGUAAAGGCUCACCAAGGCAAUGACGGGUAGCCGGCCUGAGAGGGUGACCGGCCACACUGGAACUGAGACACGGUCCAGACUCCUACGGGGGGCAGCAGUGGGGAAUCUUCCACAAUGGGCGAAAGCCUGAUGGAGCGACGCCGCGUGAGCGAAGAAGGCCUUCGGGUUGUAAAGCUCUGUCUGGAGGGACGAAGAAAGUGGCGGUACCUCCGGAGGAAGCCACGGCUAACUACGUGCCAGCAGCCGCGGUAAUAC